GAAGUCGGCGGGCGGAAGCUGGGGGGGGAUGCAAAAUGGCGGCGUCGGGCGCCUCCGUGCGUCUGCUGCGGGAGGUGAGAUCCAAUGAAAGACUGAAUGUAAAUUAGGGCUAAAUAGAAGAAUUCAAAGAUGCUCCACUCACGAGCACACCAUAGGUGCAGGGGAGAGAAGGACUAUGGAUGACAUGAUGUUUCGAAGUGAUACUGUGCUGUCUGAUGUCCACCUACAUACCCCAAGCAAAAGGCAUUUUAUGGUUAGGCUGAACGCUGUUGGCCAGCCAGUAUUUCUCUCGCAGUUCAAGCUCCUUUUGGACAAAAGCAACAGGAAUUCUGGGAAGGAAGAGAGAGACUUUAGGGGGGAAAACCUCAGAUGCCAGCACAAACGUGGAGAGGUAUUAAGUGUGGAUGAUAGUAUUGAAGAUGAAGAUUCUUCAAGCAGCAUUGAAAAGGAAGGCAACUGCUUGAAAGGUAUUGAAGCUUUGUUGGAUGAAGAUGGGGAUUUGGAGGUUGUCCGAAAGCCUCAGUUACCUUACACAGAAGAUGAGGAUCUUUCAAGGGACAAGGUGUAUCCCAUCAUUUUGACUAAAGGUGGAGACAUCUUGGAAGAACAAGAAGAAGAAGAAGACAGCUGUUGUGAUGUUAUUAAAAUAGAGCACACCAUGGCAACCUCUUUAGAAGACGUUGGCAAGCAGGUCUGGCGAGGGGCCUUCCUACUUGCAGACUUCAUCCUCUGCAAGCAAGAUUUGUUCAAGGACUGUACUGUCUUGGAACUUGGGGGCGGUACCGGGAUUGUCAGUGUUAUUGUGGCAAAGGCUGCCAAGACCACUUAUUGCACAGAUAUUGGUGAAGAUCUACUGGACAUGUGUGAAAGAAAUAUUGCAUUAAACAAGCACCUCAUUGAACCUGCAGGAAAUAAAGUUAAGGUCAGAGUUCUGGAUUGGCUGAAAGAUGAUUUCUGUACUGAUCCUGAAAAUUCCUACAGCUGGUCUGAAAAAGAGAUUGCUGAGCUGCAUGAUCUCACCACUGUGAUACUAGCUGCAGAUGUAUUUUAUGACGAUGAUCUGACAGAUGCUUUUUUCAAAACGCUGUACCGAAUUACUAGCAACUUGGGAAACCCUUGCGCUGUCUACUUGUCAAUAGAAAAGAGGUUCAACUUCACCUUAAGACACAUGGAUGUUGUGUGUGAAGCAUACAGUCACUUUCGAAGUACCUUGAAUGACCUGCUGAAUAUCAGAGAUGGCAAGACGAGAUACACCAUUGAGCCUGUUCAACUCUCCUUUCCUCAACAUAUCGUUUAUGAGCGGGUGGAGCAGUUGGAAUUAUGGAAGAUCACUGCUGAAAGAACUACCCCACCCACCCCCAGAGGAUUGGAAUAGGACAUGAGGACAUUUGUACAGAAUAGUUUCCUUUCAGGGUUCUGUCCAAAAUUGUCCUCUGAAUGGAACAAGGAACCAAAUGGAUUUGGGGUAUGAGUGAGAAGCAGAUUAAAUAUAUACACAGCAGCAAUUAUAGCAUGGAGGGGAACAAGAAGGUUUGUAAGGCAUUGAAGCCAUGUCCCUGAACUACUGGAAAUCCUGUUCAACCUCAUUCUCACUUCUGAGAUUUCACCAGGCAUGGCUCAUCCUUGAAGGCAGAAUGGACAUCCUUUAAGCCAAGAUGUUCAGGAUACUAAAUUCUAUGUCCAGUAGCAAAUUCCUUUGUGGUAAAGAUGUACCUCCUUGGGCAAGACAACUGCAGCAAUGACUCCACUUUUCUGAGCAGUGGGUAUUGUAGGAAUUGGGGGAGCUACCUGAAGCUGGUGAAGUAAUCAGUAAGUCAGUGCAGUUAGGAUAUUUUGGACUAAGACCGUUGACAAUCAGGAGGCUCUUGUCUACAUCAGGAAAAGCUUCCUGACUGUUCGAGCAUUACGGCAAUGGAACCAAUUCCCUAGGAAGGUCGUGGGCUCUCCCACGCUAGAGGCCUUCAAGAGGCAGCUGGGCAGCCAUCUGUCAGGGAUGCGUUAAGGUGGACUUCUGCAUUGAGCAGGGGGUGGACUUGAUGACCUUAUAGGCCCCUUCCAACUCUACUAUUCUAUUAUUCUAUACCCUAGAACCUGCAAAUGGGGGUGAAAGGCUUGAGGAACAGCCUCAGGGACUGGAAGACCGAGCAGUGGUGUGGUUAGCAUGUCAGAUUAAUCACGGGGAGUCCCAAUUUCAAAUGUAUUCUCAGCCAUGAAGUUCAGCUUGGGCCAACUUACAGUGCCUUGAACUCAUUGGAGGAAAAGAUGAGCAAGGGCCAUGGCUUGACCCA
RNA transcript from Elgaria multicarinata webbii, 2288 nucleotides. It is a transcript of the gene named methyltransferase 22, Kin17 lysine, with no coding region annotated. The record is from RefSeq and is a predicted model, not a curated record. Lineage: Eukaryota; Metazoa; Chordata; Lepidosauria; Squamata; Anguidae. The transcript is spliced from 13 exons.